This 499-nucleotide ribosomal RNA is filed under the name uncultured Glomeromycotina. RNAcentral's name for it is "partial small subunit ribosomal RNA". It matches the Rfam family "Eukaryotic small subunit ribosomal RNA", at positions 591 to 1092 of the family's 1831-position model. The record is from RNAcentral. Lineage: Eukaryota; Fungi; Glomeromycota.
CCAAUAGCGUAUAUUAAAGUUGUUGCAGUUAAAAAGCUCGUAGUUGAAUUUCGGGAUCAGUACGCUGGUCGUGCCUCCGGUACGUACUGGUGUCACUGAUUCCUCCCUUCUGACGAACCAUCAUGCCAUUCAUUUGGUGUGGUGGGAAAUCAGGACUGUUACUUUGAAAAAAUUAGAGUGUUUAAAGCAGGCUCACGCUUGAAUACAUUAGCAUGGAAUAAUGAAAUAGGACGUUGACCCUAUUUUGUUGGUUUCUAGGAUUGACGUAAUGAUUAAUAGGGAUAGUUGGGGGCAUUAGUAUUCAAUUGUCAGAGGUGAAAUUCUUGGAUUUAUUGAAGACUAACUACUGCGAAAGCAUUUGCCAAGGAUGUUUUCAUUAAUCAAGAACGAAAGUUAGGGGAUCGAAGACGAUCAGAUACCGUCGUAGUCUUAACCAUAAACUAUGCCGACUAGGGAUCGGAUGAUGUUGAUUUUUUAAUGACUCAUUCGGCGCCUUACG